Long non-coding RNA from Saccostrea cuccullata (small rock oyster), 149 nucleotides. RefSeq lists it as uncharacterized. The record is from RefSeq and is a predicted model, not a curated record. Lineage: Eukaryota; Metazoa; Mollusca; Bivalvia; Ostreida; Ostreidae. The transcript has 3 exons.
UAACAUCUUUCAGGAAAUCAGGAUGAAGACUUUCGUGAUUCUCGCUUUGUUAUUCUGUAAGUAAGCAUUGACCUAUAUGGAAACGGCAGAUUCUUUUGAAGCAUCUCAUAAUGUGGCUCCAGUUCGAAUUGCAAGAUCCGCAAUUGUAA